RNAcentral lists this unclassified non-coding RNA (553 nucleotides) under Hevea brasiliensis (rubber tree). The record is from RNAcentral. Lineage: Eukaryota; Viridiplantae; Streptophyta; Magnoliopsida; Malpighiales; Euphorbiaceae.
GUAGCCCAAUCAUUGCAAAGAGGAGAAGGUGGAUUACAAAAGUAAUGUGAAUUGAUCCAUGUCUACAAAGUUAUGUCUUAGUUUUCAAACUAACUAAUUUGUUCAAUUCAUGGGCUCCAAAAAGCACUCCUUUCAACGUCAAAUACAAUAACUAAACUCACACAGAAGUACCGUGAGCUCCAGAAGGCAAGUCUUAAACAUUAAAUAAUCCAUUGUUGGGUUAGCAUUAUCAAGUCAAAACCUUCCUUUGGUUUGUCCAAGCACCAGUUAAUACUAUUAAGUUUCAGAUGCAUUUCUUUUAGCAUAGUAGAAGAUUAAACUAUGAGCUAUAAGAGUUAUUCUAAGGUCUUGCUUCUGGUUAUUUAUCCCAUCUAUCAAGAAAAGCACAAAAGCCGCUCAGUCUACUUAUUACCCAAUUCAAAAACCAACCCAUUAACCCUUAUGGUAAUGCAAUCAACUCUAGAACCAAUAAUUGCUAGGACAUCCAAACCAUGGUAAAUGCAGUAGCUUAUUGAUGAUUGUUGAUGCCUGCAAUUUAGUAAUUGCAUUUUCA